Brassica napus (rape) is the source of this 138-nucleotide non-coding RNA. The record is from Rfam. Lineage: Eukaryota; Viridiplantae; Streptophyta; Magnoliopsida; Brassicales; Brassicaceae.
UUAUAUAGACGUAUGUAAUUACGGGGUUCUAAGCUUUACGGGAAAUCCAACCGAAAGUUUUUUAGUUUCUUAAAUAAGAAAUUUUCGGUUGGGUUUCCCGUAAAGCUUAGAACUCUGCAAUUACAUACGUUUAUAUAA